AUAAAUCUCUCUUUGAUGUCUAAAAACUAGUAAGAAAACUCUCACAAAAUCACAUAAAGAUAGAAGGAGAGGAGGGGUGGGUGUGUGAAGUUUGGGGCAUCCAACUCUUGGAUGCCCCAACCCUCUUUUCUUUUUUGCAACAAGAAAGAAGGGAGAAUGCCUCUUUUUUCAUGAAAAGAAGAGAGGGGGCGUGGCUCUUAAUGGGGCAUGGGAUUUCUCAACGUGAAGAGGGAGUAGGG
RNAcentral lists this long non-coding RNA (239 nucleotides) under Elaeis guineensis (African oil palm). RNAcentral's name for it is "long non-coding RNA (EGUI_LNC052670)". Lineage: Eukaryota; Viridiplantae; Streptophyta; Magnoliopsida; Arecales; Arecaceae. The record is from RNAcentral.